Molecule: long non-coding RNA, 753 nt
Filed under: Anser brachyrhynchus (Pink-footed goose)
Lineage: Eukaryota; Metazoa; Chordata; Aves; Anseriformes; Anatidae
Description: lncRNA (ENSABRG00000011263.1)
Source: RNAcentral
ACACCAUAGUAUUUAUUUAUUUAUUUAUGUAAGUGAACAGCAGACAGUAGUAUUUGUAACUAAUCUGUUAUGUGAAGACUGCACGCAUGCAAAACUUGAGGAACCAGCAACUGCUCACUGCAUCUGCCAUUCCUGCCUCUGGUCCCAUUGCCUGCAGAAGUCGGAAGGCAGUUUUAAUGUCAGAGAUUAUGAUGGUUUCAGGCAAUAAAAAUAAAAAUCCCAAAAUCAAAAUCUGUCAUUAGAGAGAGAAAAGCAGAGCCCCCACAAAAAUCAGCACGUAUGUAAUACUACAGUUAUUAUGCAUAGCCAGUUAUGCAUGGCCAAGUAUUCUGCACAGAACAAAUGAGUUUACUGAGACACUUGGGGUCAUAUUAGUUUUUACUUCAGCCAAUGUGAUUUUUUAAUUAUUAUUUUGCAUAUGUAGCAUUAGUACUUAAAUCUGAAAACUUGCAUUAAGUCCCUGGGAAGGUUGAUCUUUGUGUGUGUGCGUAUGUGGGAAAUAAAGGCUUAAGAGGUUGGAGCCCCAUUUUGCUGAACAGAACAUCUUUGUGAUGUGACCGUUUGCCCAGGCAGCAUGUGACAAUGGCAAGAGACCGAAAUCUUCAAGUGUUUGUCUGGAAGUGCCAGUUGCCCUUCUUGCCUACUGCCCUGCUCUGCCGCAGUGCUACUGAGGGGAGAAAUUCCUGCGCGGUACCGUGUUUGAGCCAUGCUGGUGUUAUUCAGGAACAAGAUUCAGUUAGAAAUAAAACGUAG